RNAcentral lists this long non-coding RNA (226 nucleotides) under Selaginella moellendorffii. RNAcentral's name for it is "long non-coding RNA (SMOE_LNC001114)". The record is from RNAcentral. Lineage: Eukaryota; Viridiplantae; Streptophyta; Lycopodiopsida; Selaginellales; Selaginellaceae.
CUUCCAUCCCGAAAGUCCAACUGGUGAGCUCCUCCCCCUUCUCUGCAUCCACAUUGACAGUGGCUGGAAGAAGAACGCAAUUCCUCGCCUGUUCAGAAAUGCACAACAAUUAGAGCUGACAGAUGAAAAGCUAACAGCUGGAAUUAACGUGAGGCCACACGCCAUUCACCACUGCAUCAGAUGUCUUGAGGCUGCAUCCUAAGAUGGCGUGAGGCUACACGCCAUC